This 148-nucleotide small nuclear RNA is filed under the name Fukomys damarensis (Damara mole-rat). RNAcentral's name for it is "U2 spliceosomal RNA". It matches the Rfam family "U2 spliceosomal RNA". Rfam says of the family: U2 is a small nuclear RNA (snRNA) component of the spliceosome (involved in pre-mRNA splicing). Complementary binding between U2 snRNA (in an area lying towards the 5' end but 3' to hairpin I) and the branchpoint sequence (BPS) of the intron results the bulging out of an unpaired adenosine, on the BPS, which initiates a nucleophilic attack at the intronic 5' splice site, thus starting the first of two transesterification reactions that mediate splicing. The record is from Rfam by way of RNAcentral. Lineage: Eukaryota; Metazoa; Chordata; Mammalia; Rodentia; Bathyergidae.
AUCGCUUCUCGGCCUUUUGGCUAAGAUCAAGUGUAGAAAUGUAGUGAGACAAUGUGGUCCUUGUUUUCCUUGACGUUUUUUCAGAGAUCUAGGCUACACCAAACAAUUUAUUUGAAUGUAUAAACCUAUUCUCUUUUAAUUUCUCUAA